RNAcentral lists this transfer RNA (93 nucleotides) under Rickettsiales bacterium. RNAcentral describes it as "tRNA-Ser". It matches the Rfam family "tRNA". From Rfam's summary of the family: Transfer RNA (tRNA) molecules are approximately 80 nucleotides in length. Their secondary structure includes four short double-helical elements and three loops (D, anti-codon, and T loops). The record is from RNAcentral. Lineage: Bacteria; Pseudomonadati; Pseudomonadota; Alphaproteobacteria; Rickettsiales.
GGAGAGGUGGCUGAGUGGUCGAAAGCGGCUUCCUGCUAAGAAGUUGCGCUGGGUUAACUGGCGCCAUGGGUUCGAAUCCCAUCCUUUCCACCA